AGCUACAGGCUUAACACAUGCAAGUCGAGGGGAAACGAUAGAGAAAGCUUGCUUUUUCUAGGCGUCGACCGGCGCACGGGUGAGUAACGCGUAUCCAACCUGCCCAUCACUUGGGGAUAACCUUGCGAAAGUAAGACUAAUACCCAAUGACGUCUCUAGAAGACAUCUGAAAGAGAUUAAAGAUUUAUCGGUGAUGGAUGGGGAUGCGUCUGAUUAGCUUGUUGGCGGGGUAACGGCCCACCAAGGCGACGAUCAGUAGGGGUUCUGAGAGGAAGGUCCCCCACAUUGGAACUGAGACACGGUCCAAACUCCUACGGGAGGCAGCAGUGAGGAAUAUUGGCCAAUGGGCGAGAGCCUGAACCAGCCAAGUAGCGUGCAGGAUGACGGCCCUAUGGGUUGUAAACUGCUUUUAUAAGGGAAUAAAGUGAGUCUCGUGAGACUUUUUGCAUGUACCUUAUGAAUAAGGACCGGCUAAUUCCGUGCCAGCAGCCGCGGUAAUACGGAAGGUCCGGGCGUUAUCCGGAUUUAUUGGGUUUAAAGGGAGCGUAGGCCGGAGAUUAAGCGUGUUGUGAAAUGUAGAUGCUCAACAUCUGCACUGCAGCGCGAACCGGUUUCCUUGAGUACGCACAAAGUGGGCGGAAUUCGUGGUGUAGCGGUGAAAUGCUUAGAUAUCACGAAGAACUCCGAUUGCGAAGGCAGCUCACUGGAGCGCAACUGACGCUGAAGCUCGAAAGUGCGGGUAUCGAACAGGAUUAGAUACCCUGGUAGUCCGCACGGUAAACGAUGGAUGCCCGCUGUUGGUCUGAAUAGGUCAGCGGCCAAGCGAAAGCAUUAAGCAUCCCACCUGGGGAGUACGCCGGCAACGGUGCAACUCAAAUGAAUUGACGGA
RNAcentral lists this ribosomal RNA (889 nucleotides) under uncultured organism. Its description in RNAcentral is "bacterial SSU rRNA". It matches the Rfam family "Bacterial small subunit ribosomal RNA", at positions 38 to 917 of the family's 1533-position model. The record is from RNAcentral.